Molecule: long non-coding RNA, 601 nt
Organism: Passer domesticus (house sparrow)
Lineage: Eukaryota; Metazoa; Chordata; Aves; Passeriformes; Passeridae
Exons: 3
Source: RefSeq, a predicted model, not a curated record
GAAGAGCCUGAAGGAGCCCUUGGGAGAUGGGCAGUAAAUGUGUGAGUGGGCACACCUGGGGGAGGCUGUUCAGAGUGCUCUGGGAUGUCUGACAGACUGCAGGACUGCUGACACUUGAUCACAGCCCCUGCAAGCUGAUGCAGCUCUUCCUGUCCUGUUCCUGCAAGAGCAGGAAGGAUUCACGGAGAUCCUCCCAGCCCAGAGACUCCUCAGAAACCCUCUGUCUUUAGACUGCUUGUGAAAAAAGGCACCAUCAUCUGAUUUUCAGUUUAUGAUGAGAUCCGCCAAUUAUUUAGAAACUCACCCUACACACUCUAUAACUGAAAAAUGCAAGAAAAUUUCUUAUGAAAAUCUUCACUGUGAAGAGUAAUCACCUGGCUGCUUAUGUAAAACUUCAGGCCAAUACCUGACUGCCACAGAGCCUGGCUCCAGUGUCUGCUGCCACUUGGAAGGAAACUGGCUGGAGAUCCUUCCUGUGCUGGGGUAAGGUCCUUGUUGCUCUGGAAUAUCCUUCAAGAUGGCACAAAAACAUAUAUACAGAUCCAACAUAUACAAAACAGAUAUAUGAUGUCCAGGAGGUGGUACUGGACAUCUCUGCAGG